UCGGAUUGCAGGCUGCAACUCGCCUGUAUGAAGUCGGAAUUGCUAGUAAUCGCGGAUCAGCAUGCCGCGGUGAAUACGUUCCCGGGCCUUGUACACACCGCCCGUCACACCAUGAGAGCCGGGAACACCCGAAGUCCGUAGUCUAACCGCAAGGAGGACGCGGCCGAAGGUGGGUUUGGUAAUUGGGGUGAAGUCGUAACAAGGUAUC
Molecule: ribosomal RNA, 208 nt
Filed under: uncultured bacterium
Lineage: Bacteria
Description: partial 16S ribosomal RNA
Rfam family: Bacterial small subunit ribosomal RNA
Source: RNAcentral